Molecule: long non-coding RNA, 334 nt
Organism: Suricata suricatta (meerkat)
Lineage: Eukaryota; Metazoa; Chordata; Mammalia; Carnivora; Herpestidae
Exons: 2
Source: RefSeq, a predicted model, not a curated record
UCCGCAGUGACGACAUGCUUGAUCACGAAGCCGCCCCGGCAGACCAAAGGUCACCCGGUCCCUGCAGCUUCGCUCUUGUCAGACUACCCCGGGUCUCCCUACUCAUAAAAAGAGCGUGGGCUGUGUCGUCGAAACACUCAGCAGAAGAUGCUGAGUUAUUCUGGAAAGCCUUGGGAAGAGGAACGGAGGCAACUGACAGGGUCCUCGAGUCCACAAACACGCCGUCUUUCUCUUCCCAGUUGUGCUAGGCCCUAGGGGUCUGUGAAUUCGGAAGGCCCUCAGUGGCGGUUUUUACGUUUGUUUUCCAUUUCCCUAUUAAAGAAUUUCGUAACAA